This 676-nucleotide ribosomal RNA is filed under the name uncultured archaeon. RNAcentral's name for it is "bacterial SSU rRNA". It matches the Rfam family "Archaeal small subunit ribosomal RNA", at positions 321 to 999 of the family's 1478-position model. The record is from RNAcentral.
CCCUAUGGGGUGCAGCAGGGGCGAAACCUCCACAAUGCACGCAAGUGCGAUGGGGUUACCUCGAGUGCCGCCUGAAGAAGGCGGCUUUUCCACGGUGUAAUGAGCCGUGGGAAUAAGGGGGGGGCAAGACUGGUGUCAGCCGCCGCGGUAACACCAGCCCCCCGAGUGGUGGGGAUGAUUAUUUGGCCUAAAGCGUCCGUAGCCGGCCCGGUAAAUCUCUCGUUAAAUCCAGCGUCCCAAGCGUUGGGCUGCGAGGGAGACUGCCGGGCUAGAGGGUGGGAGAGGUCAGCGGUAUUUCUGGGGUAGGGGCGAAAUCCAUUGAUCCCAGGAGGACCACCAGUGGCGAAGGCUGCUGACUAGAACACGCCUGACGGUGAGGGACGAAAGCUGGGGUAGCGAAUCGGAUUAGAUACCCGAGUAGUCCCAGCCGUAAACGAUGCAGGCCAGGUGUUGGGCCGGCCACGCGCCGGCUCAGUGCCACAGGGAAGCCAUUAAGCCUGCCGCCUGGGGAGUACGGCCGCAAGGCUGAAACUUAAAGGAAUUGGCGGGAGAGCACCACCAGGCGUGAAGCCUGCGGUUUAAUUGGAGUCAACGCCGGGAACCUUACCGGGAGCGACAGCAGAGUGAAGGCCAGGUUGAAGGUCUUGCCGGACGAGCUGAGAGGAGGUGCAUGGCC